GACGAACGCUGGCGGCGUGCUUAACACAUGCAAGUCGAACGGAAAGGCCCUGCUUUUGUGGGGUGCUCGAGUGGCGAAAGGGUGAGUAACACGUGAGUAGCCUGCCCUUGACUUUGGGAUAACUUCAGGAAACUGGGGCUAAUACCGGAUAGGAGCUCCUGCUGCAUGGUGGGGGUUGGAAAGUUUCGGCGGUUGGGGAUGGACUCGCGGCUUAUCAGCUUGUUGGUGGGGUAGUGGCUUACCAAGGCUUUGACGGGUAGCCGGCCUGAGAGGGUGACCGGCCACAUUGGGACUGAGAUACGGCCCAGACUCCUACGGGAGGCAGCAGUGGGGAAUAUUGCACAAUGGGCGGAAGCCUGAUGCAGCAACGCCGCGUGCGGGAUGACGGCCUUCGGGUUGUAAACCGCUUUCGCCUGUGACGAAGCGUGAGUGACGGUAAUGGGUAAAGAAGCACCGGCUAACUACGUG
RNAcentral lists this ribosomal RNA (468 nucleotides) under uncultured bacterium. Its description in RNAcentral is "partial 16S ribosomal RNA". It matches the Rfam family "Bacterial small subunit ribosomal RNA", at positions 28 to 507 of the family's 1533-position model. The record is from RNAcentral.